UCAUAGAUUGCAAAGCAUUUACUUCCCUUUGUUAAAAGGAAAGAGUGUAAUAUCCAGUGUUGAUUAUGUAGGCCGAUGAAACACUUCUCGCGGCGAAAGAUGUUACGUAGAAAAGUAGCUGUCGACGCUUCCCUAAGAGGAAGCUGGAAGACGAUCUAGAAGCAACAUCAGCAUCACUGCAACAUGGAGAGUGGAAGCGAUGUAUGGAAGGAUUCUCAACAGGUUUUGCCAAGACAGACACUGGGCACCAACGCACAAAGAAACUCUGCACACAACGAUCACCCAAGGUCCAAGGCUUCCUUGAGUCCAGUUUUGACCAUGUCACUGAGCUAGCAUCUGAUGCAUCGGGGCAGGAUACGAAAGAUGCUGAACUCAUAUCUUGGUCUUCAAGUGAUAGUGAAGAUUUGGAAACCAAUGUGAAAUCUCACGUGCAAGUCAAAUCAUCAAAAAACAGUAAGAAUUGCACACCAGGUAUGACAAAACAAGAUACACCUUCCACAAAAAAGAAAGCAUUUCCUAAAUCAGCUAAACUAGAGUUGAGGAGGAUAUGUCCAGAUUUUGAUGUUCAUGGAUUAUAUGAGUCUACUGGAGGUAUUGACACAAUAUCCAGCAGUUCGGAACAGGAAGAGGAGGGGAUGAAGGACAGGGCUGAGGAGGACAAAAAGCCAUGUGUUCAACUGGCAGAUAUACCCAGACAGGCACUCCUCAACUCUCCAAUGAUCGUGACGUACCAGUCCAGCCAGGCUUCCAGCUCCUACUCACCCACUAAAAACACCUCGGGGCUGAAGGCCAGUGACUGGAUGAAGGCCAUGGACUGGCAGACUCCCGUCAAGGCCAGCAGCAGCCAGGAAGAUGAGCAGCUCCAGCCUGACCCAGACUCAGCCAAAAAGAAGAAGAAAUAUCACAAAGGUGGCCUUGCAGAACAGCUGGCCCGUGUGCAGGCAAGGGAGAGAUCAGCGGUCAGGAUGUGGGAGCAUCGACGCUCUGACCUCACAGAUGCUUCUAAAGCCCUCCUUGUGCGGGUUUUGAGCUUUGAAAUCCUCUUCUCCCUGCAACUUGCUCACUGUGAAGUAGCUGACAUUGAUGAGGAUGGAGGUGAAGGUAACAGCCCAGAUGGUAAUGACAACCGAUGGAAGAAGCAGUUGAUCCUGUUCUCCAAGCAGAUGAUGGAUAAGCUGCAGAUAGACGCUGGGUCAAUGGUCACACUAUACCCUCCAUGGCAACAACUACAGCUGACCAGUCAGAAACAGACAGUGCUACUGUGCACUCAUUACACAAGAGUUGUCUCCCCUGUUACUCAACAAACAUGGGGAGCGAAGUCCUUGGAUUUGGUGAAAACCGAUGUGAUAGCUACAUGGAACUGUCCUUGCACCAAUGAUGCGAAUAUGUCUGUUGCAAAUUGUCCAGUGACACAGUUUCCAUAUCUGCCAUCAUCCCUACAGGGCGCUGAUGUGAGCAGCACACAGAACACAGGUCAUCCUGCCACCCAGUCUGGUCUCCUCCAGACGGUGACGAGCUCACGGCUGCCGGUUGUUCCAGUGUGUGACUCUCUGUUAGAGAGCAUUCAGAGGACGGGGCCUGGCCAUGGCCUCACCUUCCGUGCUGUCAUACAGAGGGUGUUUGUCUCAUCAGCAGCCAGAUAUUCCUUGUUAGUGGAAGAUAGUCAUGGCACAAUGGCUGUCGUAGAGAUGGGAGAUAACUCUGCUCAGGAUGAGGUGACUCUAGCCGAGGGUCACAUGUGUUGUUUCUCUGGGCUGAAAGUUGUCACCAGAUCCAUCAAAGAGAGGAAUGUGGCAUUGUUCAGUGUGCUGGAGGGUGCAUGGUCAGGUCACAGAGCGUCCGUCUCCAGCCAGGAAAGUCAGGAGGAAGAACAAGCAAGCAGCACUAUGAGACACGUGACUUGCCCUGGCUUCUGCUACAUCCUGUCCCCAUCCGAGGACUGCCCUCUGUCUGUCACUGUGACCCCACAGACAGCCCCCAGCUACACAGAACCACACUACCAAACACUGGCUGGAGCACGGCAGAUGGCCUUGGACAAGAGAGUGUCAUUUGUUGCCAGAGUCCUUCACAAGAGACAGUCGGAGGAUACGUCCAGACCAAACGUACAUGAAAACUGGUAUGUGACAGACAGCAGUCUCCCAUCUUCCUACUCAUUGGUCACCUUGUCACAGGACUGUCACAUCCCAGUAUUAGCAGGGCACAUAGCUGUCUUCACCGAUACCUGUGUCUCCAAUGUUUUCACUGUGAUGCUUACACUCAUAUUAUGGAGGAAGCGCCUGUCCAUAUUGAAAACAGCUCGAUGAGAAAGACACACAGCCAGCUGGACUCACUGACAGUGUCCCUUCCAGAAAUAACUGGCAGUGUUAGGCCAUGGAGCCUUGUUUCUGUACAAGGUACAGUAGGCAGUGUUGAUGAGGAUGCAGCCUACACCUGGGAGGAAUGUGAUGGGUGUGGCAGUGACCGGCUUGUGCAAGACCGUGAGAGACCAG
This 2489-nucleotide unclassified non-coding RNA is filed under the name Haliotis rubra (blacklip abalone). RNAcentral's name for it is "dNA repair-scaffolding protein-like, transcript variant X2". Lineage: Eukaryota; Metazoa; Mollusca; Gastropoda; Lepetellida; Haliotidae. The record is from RNAcentral.